RNAcentral lists this ribosomal RNA (266 nucleotides) under uncultured bacterium. Its description in RNAcentral is "partial 16S ribosomal RNA". It matches the Rfam family "Bacterial small subunit ribosomal RNA", at positions 89 to 353 of the family's 1533-position model. The record is from RNAcentral.
UGGCGACCGGCGCACGGGUGAGUAAUACGUAUCCAACCUGCCGAUGACUCGGGGAUAGCCUUUCGAAAGAAAGAUUAAUACCCGAUGGCAUAGUUCUUCCGCAUGGUAGAACUAUUAAAGAAUUUCGGUCAUCGAUGGGGAUGCGUUCCAUUAGGUUGUUGGCGGGGUAACGGCCCACCAAGCCUUCGAUGGAUAGGGGUUCUGAGAGGAAGGUCCCCCCACAUUGGAACUGAGACACGGUCCAAACUCCUACGGGAGGCAGCAUG